This is an RNA transcript of Myotis davidii, 4245 nucleotides long. It is a transcript of the gene named regulator of chromosome condensation (RCC1) and BTB (POZ) domain containing protein 1, with no coding region annotated. Lineage: Eukaryota; Metazoa; Chordata; Mammalia; Chiroptera; Vespertilionidae. The record is from RefSeq and is a predicted model, not a curated record. The transcript has 12 exons.
UUUGUUACAGCAGAGAUGCCAGCAUAUUUAUAGGAAUUGCUUGAAGCCAGAGUCAUGGUGGAUGUAGGAAAGUGGCCAAUCUUCACUCUGCUCUCACCUCAAGAAAUUGCAUCUAUUCGGAAAGCCUGUGUCUUUGGCACCUCAGCCAAUGAAGCACUGUACGUUACUGAAGAUGAUGAGGUCUUUGUAUUUGGACUGAACUAUAGUAACUGUCUAGGAACUGGAGAUAACCAGAGUACACUUACACCCAAAAAGCUAGAAGCCUUAUGUGGAAAGAAGAUUAAAAGCCUUAGUUAUGGCAGUGGUCCACAUGUUCUUCUCAGCACUGAAGAUGGAGUUGUUUACGCCUGGGGCCACAAUGGAUAUAGCCAGCUUGGGAAUGGGACAACCAACCAAGGCAUUGCUCCCAUCCAAGUCUGUACCAAUCUCUUGAUCAAACAAGUGGUUGAAGUAGCUUGUGGCUCCCAUCAUUCAGUGGCUUUGGCAGCUGAUGGAGAGGUAUUUGCUUGGGGCUAUAACAACUGUGGCCAGGUGGGAUCAGGAUCUACAGCAAAUCAACCAACUCCUCGAAAAGUUACAAAUUGUUUACAUAUUAAGAGGGUAGUAGGCAUUGCCUGUGGUCAGACCUCAUCCAUGGCUGUUCUUGACACUGGUGAGGUGUAUGGCUGGGGUUACAAUGGCAACGGUCAGCUGGGCUUGGGAAACAAUGUCAAUCAGCUGACCCCUGUGCGAGUGGCAGCUUUGCACAGCGUGUGCGUGAACCAGAUUGUCUGCGGCUAUGCACACACUCUAGCACUAACAGAUGAGGGCUUGCUCUAUGCCUGGGGAGCUAACACGUAUGGGCAGCUUGGAACGGGCAAUAAAAAUAACUUGCUAAGCCCAACACACAUCAUGGUGGAGAAAGAAAGAGUAGUAGAAAUUGCAGCUUGCCACUCUGCCCACACAUCUGCUGCCAAGACCCAGGGAGGGCACGUGUACAUGUGGGGCCAGUGCCGGGGCCAGUCCGUGGUCCUGCCUCACCUCACCCACCUCUCAUGCACGGACGACGUGUUUGCCUGCUUUGCCACUCCCGCCGUCUCCUGGCGCCUCCUAUCUGUAGAGCAUGAAGAUUUUUUAACAGUUGCAGAGUCCCUGAAGAAAGAAUUUGACAGUCCAGAAACUGCUGACCUAAAGUUCAGAAUUGAUGGGAAAUAUAUCCAUGUCCAUAAAGCUGUUUUGAAAAUCAGGUGUGAGCACUUCCGAUCCAUGUUUCAGUCUUAUUGGAAUGAGGACAUGAAAGAAGUAAUAGAAAUAGACCAGUUUUCUUACCCAGUGUAUCGUGCCUUUCUUCAGUUCCUCUACACAGACACGGUGGACCUGCCCCCUGAAGAUGCUAUAGGUCUUUUGGAUUUGGCGACUUCUUACUGUGAAAACAGACUGAAAAAACUUUGUCAGCACAUUAUCAAGCAAGGAAUCACUGUGGAGAAUGCCUUUUCAUUAUUCUCUGCUGCAGUCAGAUACGAUGCAGAGGAUUUAGAAGAAUUCUGCUUUAAGUUUUGCAUCAAUCAUUUGACAGAAGUCACACAGACUGCAGCAUUUUGGCAAAUGGAUGGCCCUCUGCUAAAGGAAUUCAUUGCUAAAGCCAGUAAAUGUGGAGCCUUUAAGAACUGAAGCCAAGGCUGCUGGGUUAUGUGUGAGUGCUCUGGGGCACUGGUGAUGGUGUGUCUUUUGUGCUCUACUGGUGAUAUGCUGCAGGUAAAAACCAUCAGGUUGUCUUUUCAUAUCUGGGAGACAAUUCUGUGUAGGAAUAUAUGAAGGAUAUACGGCUUUUCCUGAACUUACUUCUUUUCAUAUCUGAGACACAAUUCUCUGUGUAAGAAUAUAUGAAGGAUAUAUGGCUUUUUCUGAACUUACUUUAAACAACUCUUGUUUCCAGACAUGUAUAUUUUAAAUGUGACUCUCAGUUUGUCUGGAACACUAUAAAAGGGUGAAAGUUUAGCUGGUUGUUUUUUUGUUUUUCAUUAGAGGAAUUUAUGAACUUGGAAAGGGGAUGUUUGUGGCAACUCUCCUGGCUCACUUAUCAGCAAUCCGUUUGACACUAGGGGUGGUGAUAGUUUGUGAAUUGUGAGUUAGACAUAGAGGCCCCACCAUGAAUUAAAGAUGCUGACUUUGGGGCUUACUGAAUUACUGCAUUAGUUGCUAGCUCAACUGCCUUACUGUGAAAGAAUAGCUGAGAUAUUUUGAGACUUUUUUGUGUGUGUUUGCACUAUUGGACUUUUUCUUAACUUCAUGGUGUAUGAAAAUAAUAUUAAGUUUAAUAUGAGUUAAAUCUAUUGAAAUGAUAAUUAUGUUAAGAUAAAUUUUUAGAUUAGCCAAGAUUUCUCUUAAGACUUAAGCACAUAAAGAGUAGUAAUUUAGAACUGUGAAAAGUUGAUAAUGAAAGGAAUUUGGACAAAGGUGAAUGUUUUAUAACUUAGAAUCUCCACUACUAUUUAACGAUGUUUUAUUUAAGAUAAAAUUUGAGAACUCAAGUUUAAAUUGCCCCUUCCUCCACACACGUUUUCCCCUAUAAAAAUGACAUAUUCAAUAUACUCUUGCCUUCCUAAAUUGUGGCUGCUAAAUCAUCAGAUCUGCUACAUAUGAUUCAAAGAAAAAGUUCUUAAAACCAACUCUCUUACAGGACUUAAAGGAAUUAGUUUUCUCUCUUAUCUAGACCAAAUCCAUCACCAAUUUGCUUAUUUGAAACUUCGCCAGCUUUUACUUUUGGUUUUCCUCUCCUUUUAAUUGUGUUAGGUCUAAUAUUUAGCACAAUUGGACCUUGAAAAAGGAUCAAAAUUAUGGGAUUUUUUGUUUUGUUUUUGGGGGUCUGGUUAUGAAGUGUGAUUUGGAAGGUAAGAAUAUUCAACUCUUAAGCUUUGUCGUGUGUGUCAGUUGCUUUAAGAACAAAGCUCUGUUCUGCCCUCCAAUCCACGGACUCAUUUCCAUUUGUGGGAGUUCUCUUAGCAAAUUCUGUUUCCUGCCUAGAAGGUCCUCCCAUCUGAACUUGGAGCCUAAAUACAUUUUCAGAUCAAAUGUAUUUAUAAAUUAGAAUCUCCACUACUAUUUAACGAUGUUUUAUUUUAUUAAGAUAAAAUUUGAGAACUCAAGUUUAAAUUGCCCCUUCCUGCACACACGUUUUCCCCUAUAAAAAUGACAUAUUCAAUAUACUCUUGCCUAAAUACAUUUUCAGAUUAACAAGAGGGUGAAGAGAUGCGGCAGCUAUUAUUUUUAGCAGUGUUUAGGAGUUAACACAGUAACAUAUCUAUAAACAGCUUUUCAUGAUAGUGAGAGAAAACGUGAGAGAGUUAAUACGAGAAGCAUAUCUGAAGACGUUUGUGCGGUGUGGGGGAAAACAUAAGUGUCCUGUCAGCUUAUUCCCAAAACACAUUAAGUGGCACAAGCAAAGGCUUACAGGUGGGAGCUGAUGAGCCUUCCAGAGCCUGACAUGAGCAAGUCUGGUUGAGUAGAAAAGCCAGGGUCUGAGAGGUGGAAAUGCUGGCAAGGGGAGGAUGUGUGUAUGUGAGAACAUUUAUUUCCCACGGUGCCAAGCAUCAUGCCCUGUGCUGCACGUACAUUUUUUUUCAUGCCCACAUUUUGUACCAUAAGGUAGGCAGGAUUGGGCUCAGAUAGAUUAAACAAUGUGAUUAAAGUUUUUCAGUACUAAGUGAUAGAGCUCAAGUACAAAACCGGGUCUGAGUUUCCCUGACAUUUGCUUACUUUGUGACUGCAAAACAUGAGCUGCAUUGUGCCAGAGUAAUCUUGUGAAUGACAGAUUGAAUUUGAAAAUAACGUGGGGGGACAGAGGUUUUCUUUAAAAUAAAGAACAUGAAGUCAGAACUAUUACUCAGUGUCAGGGGCAGAAGCUGAGUUACCAUACAGACCAGGGGAAUCUGACUCAGUGGGUCUGGGAUGGAGUCUUGGCUGUUAGUUUGUUAAGUCCCCCAGGCGAUUCUGAUGUGCAAAUUUGAGAGCCACUGACCUUGAUUUUUGUCCCUCAGGUAAGAAUGACUUAGGCUAGGGUUGCCUUUACAACAGGUAUGGACCCAUUCUCUUUUCACCUACAUCAUAUUCUUCUCUGAACAGAUAUUUUUUUGAGUACUUACUACAUACCUGGCAUCAAUGCUCAGACUUAAUCAAACUCAUUUUGAAAUGUAGCAUUAUUGCCCUGGCCACUUUGGCUCAGUGGAUACAGUGUCCUCUCAAGGGCACAUACCUCAUUUGCAGGCU